CACUCACUCACUCACUCAGUCAGUCAGUAACUGCGGAAGUAAGCACUAUUUAGGGCAAGUGUUAGCUAUAGUGGCUCAGACUUAAAGUUCAUGCCGAGGGACAAACAGCAUUGCUCCCGAAAAUCGAACUUGUUUCCACUGUGGGAAUAGUGAUCAGAUCUGGACUGAGUGAUGGCCAACAAGAUGAAGCACAAGAGACAGGGAAGCAUUGAACUGUUAGAAGCUAUUGGGGUGGUAAAGAGAGAAAAUAGCACUGGGAGCCUUGCUACGCUUAUUUCGCACUCCCCAAAUGUCUUCGACUAUGUCCUGGUGGCCCAGGAAAUGGAUGAAGAUAUAGCAAACAAGAGCUCCAGGAAGAAACGCGAUUUCCUAAAAGCUUUGAAGAACAAGAAUUUACAGAUAACGACACUUGCUCAUGAUGAUAAAGUGUUUUAUGGAAUCACAGCCCCAAAAGAGAUCUUCGAGACAUACAGAUAUCUGCUUAAAGUGACUGAUGGAUGUAACUGGAGCUGUGAACAGCAGGGGAAUACACCACAAUCAACAAGGAUACGGAUUGUAGACUACAUCCUACACCACACCAGCAUUGACACUGAUGGUGUUCCGGGGUAUCUGUCAGACCUCAUUAAAGAGAAUGUUUUUCAGGAUCAGUUUUGUCUUCAUGAGAAAGAGGAACAGAAAGAGCUGAGAAAGACUUGGGCUAGAUGGGCUGCCGCUUUCAAUGGUCAACCCGUAACUGAUGUAAGACACUACUUUGGAGAAAAGGUGGCUCUGUAUUUCCUAUGGCUGGGCUGGUACACAUUUUUGCUAAUCCCUGCGGCUCUCCUGGGCGUCAUAGUCUUCCUUUAUGGUCUAUUUUUCUUCAGAGGCAACCCUCUGAUAAAUGAGGUGUGUGACUCAGACACUAUAAUGUGUCCACUGUGCGAUAAGCCAUGUAAGGUCUGGCGGCUGUCUGAUACAUGCACAUACGCAAAGUUGAGCACAUUAUUUGACAAUGAAGGAACAGUCGCAUUUGCUAUGUUCAUGGCAGUCUGGGCUACUGUGUUUCUAGAAUUCUGGAAGCGCCACACAGCCUCAUAUGUCUGCGAGUGGAAGGUUUUUGACUGGUGUGAAGAAGAGGAGGAACUAAUACUGGAGAUAGUGAAUAAUCCCAACUGCAAGUCAGUGAAGUUCAGUCACUCAUACCUGCGCAAUACGCUAGUAAUGGUGCUAAUGACACUCAUGUUGCUGCUGAUCAUUGGAUUGGCUCAUGCCCUUGUGGUGUUCAGGGUAAUAGCCAGUGUGGAGUUUGCUAAGCAAGAACAAUUGCCUUUUCUUAGUGAAAACAGCUACACAGUGGCUUUGAUGCUUGGAGCAGUGCUGCACUACCUCACAAUAACCAUCAUGACUUGGGUCAAUCGCAGAGUGGCAUUGAAGUUAUGUGAAUUAGAGAAGGUGCAUUCACAUGCUGCUGUUGAAAGGAGCUUUACGGUGAAGAUGUUCACUUUCCAGUUCUUUACUCUUUUUUCCUCACUUAUCUACACAGCAUUCUUUCUCGGCAGGAUAAAUGGAUAUCCAGGUGGAUAUGUAAGGAUAGCUAAAAUCUGGAGAUUAGAAGAGUGUCAUCCUAGUGGAUGUCUUACUGACCUGUUCAUUCAGAUGGCCAUCAUCAUGUUGCUUAAACAGUUCAUUGGCAACGUGUUUGAGUUUUCAGGCCCUUGGUUCAAAGGUUGGCUAAAAAGGCGACAGAGUCGUAAUAUGAGGAAGAAGGUCCGAUGGUGUUCGGAGAAGAACUGUGUGCAGGGCACAGGAGGCACUGAUCUGUGUGACAACUGUAAACUUAGGGACUUGCUCUGGAACUUUGACCUCAAUAAUGUGGACUCCUUUAGCCUCUUUAACGAAUUCCUAGAAAUGGUAAUCCAGUUCAGUUUCACCACCAUCUUUGUGGCUGCAUUUCCCCUCGCUCCUCUGCUUGCUCUGCUUAACAAUAUCAUUGAAAUCAGAUUGGAUGCCAUUAAAAUGUUGCGUCUGGAGCGAAGGCUGGUGCCUAGGAAGACUAACGACAUUGGGGUUUGGACAGAUGUGCUGGAAACAAUUGGUGUGCUAGCUGUCAUUGCCAAUGGGCUGGUCAUUGGCAUAUCAUCUGAUUUUAUCCCACGGUUGGUGUAUCGAUACCACUAUGGACCCUGUGCUAAUUCCAGUACUAGUGGUGUUGAAUGCAUGUCUGGCUAUAUUAAUAAUUCUUUAUCUAUUGCUUACACAAAUGAUGAGAACAUCAAAAAAGACUUUGUAACCAAGCAACUCAUUCAUAUGGACAGGAAGGUGACACACUGCAGUUAUAGAAGUUAUAGGAGUAAGGAUGACUACACAUUGACCCAUCAGUUUUGGGUCAUUCAGGCAGUUCGCUUUGCCUUCGUCAUUCUUUUUGAGCAUGUGGUCGUGAUGUGCAAGUGCAUCGCAGGGUGGUUUGUCCCCACUUCUCCCUUAGAGGUAAAAAAUACGAGGCUGCAAGACAAGCUUGGACAACUGAAAGAACAGCUCCGACGGAGGUCUAGAGAGAGCUGAUUGGCCGACCUCUCAGAGAGGAGGGAUGAGAGGCUACUUUGUGCUCCCACAUUAAUCACAGCUCUACAGCCAGCCAGGGACGUCUGUGAGCUCACGCAAGCGGAAGGAGCGGAUAGCGCCGUCCUCUGAGUGUGUUACGCCGCCCCCAAAGAAUUAAUGGAUUUCCAUUAUUCCCGGGACAACAACAUUUCAAGUAUAAGUGACAAACUUCAGUGGAUUCUUUAUAACAGAAAACAGAAAAAUAUACAUCCACAUCAGGAUAAACGAUUGGGAACCGAUUCAUGAUCCUAAUUCCAGGAGCAGAACAGAUGAAGUUGCUGUGCACAGCUGUUAAGUUACUGACUUACUGAUUCUAUUUGCCAAGUUAAUCACACUAUCUUUGUUUUUUCAAUAGUCCACUACAUUUUAGAACAGUUUAAAAAAAAACGUAGACAUCUUAUUUUUCUAGACUGAAAACACAAAAUCUGUUUUCAAAUGAUUUCUUCUUCUUACUUUUUUCUUUCUUUCUUUCUUUUUUUUUUACAUAUUUAUAGCAGAUAAUAAAUUAUUAUAAUUGUUUUUAGAUUUUGCAGAUUCUAUUACAAUACGAACUUGAGCCAAGUACUUCAAUAUUCAGGAAAAUGUACACAUAUAAAGAACCUGAAAUAUAUAUUUUUUUUAACCUAAGACCUGGCUACAACCAGAAAUUUUUAUUUUUUUAUCUCAAUUUGUUUAAAUAAAAGUACUUCAUGGUUUACAGUACCAA
This is an RNA transcript of Clarias gariepinus (North African catfish), 3286 nucleotides long. It is a transcript of the gene named anoctamin-9, with no coding region annotated. The record is from RefSeq and is a predicted model, not a curated record. Lineage: Eukaryota; Metazoa; Chordata; Actinopteri; Siluriformes; Clariidae. The transcript has 25 exons.